Molecule: non-coding RNA, 136 nt
Organism: Triticum aestivum (bread wheat)
Lineage: Eukaryota; Viridiplantae; Streptophyta; Magnoliopsida; Poales; Poaceae
Source: Rfam
GUCAUACUCCCUCCGUUUCAAAAUACUUGACUUCUAUUUGUCCAAAAAUGAAUGUAUCUAUAUAGUAAAACAUGUCUAGAUACAUCUAUAUUUUGACAAAUGGAAGUCAUGUAUUGUGUAAUAGAGGGAGUAGCUA